GACGAACGCUGGCGGCGUGCCUAAUACAUGCAAGUCGGACGCUGAAGGAGGAGCUUGCUUCUCUGGAUGAGUUGCGAACGGGUGAGUAACGCGUAGGUAACCUGCCUGGUAGCGGGGGAUAACUAUUGGAAACGAUAGCUAAUACCGCAUAAUAGUAGAUGUUGCAUGACAUUUGCUUAAAAGGUGCAAUUGCAUCACUACCAGAUGGACCUGCGUUGUAUUAGCUAGUUGGUGGGGUAACGGCUCACCAAGGCGACGAUACAUAGCCGACCUGAGAGGGUGAUCGGCCACACUGGGACUGAGACACGGCCCAGACUCCUACGGGAGGCAGCAGUAGGGAAUCUUCGGCAAUGGACGGAAGUCUGACCGAGCAACGCCGCGUGAGUGAAGAAGGUUUUCGGAUCGUAAAGCUCUGUUGUAAGAGAAGAACGAGUGUGAGAGUGGAAAGUUCACACUGUGACGGUAUCUUACCAGAAAGAGACGGCUAACUACGUG
This 495-nucleotide ribosomal RNA is filed under the name uncultured bacterium. RNAcentral's name for it is "partial 16S ribosomal RNA". It matches the Rfam family "Bacterial small subunit ribosomal RNA", at positions 28 to 507 of the family's 1533-position model. The record is from RNAcentral.